AUGGAUGAGUUUAGAGACUGUUUGGAGGAUUGUGGACUAGCAGACAUGGGAUUCUUAGGGUAUCCGUUCACAUGGGAUAACAAGAGACAGGCGGAGGAAAAUAUUCAAGUUAGACUUGAUCGAGCAACGUGCACAUCGUCAUUCAUGCAAAUGUUCCCGGCUUCGGAAGUACAACAUAUUCUAACGGAGGAGUCUGACCACCAGGCGCUCCUAGUGCGGGUUGCGUCGACACUGGUCGGCAACUCAGCGAGAGCGCAGCGGCCUUUCAUGUACGAAGCUGCAUGGGCCAGACACGCGGACUACGAAGGCAUGAUAGCCAAUGCAUGGGAACAGGCCCAUGCGGCCAAUCACAUGCAGCCGGGCCUGGUGGCGGCAUGCAAGCAGCUAGGCUUGAUGGCCAAGGCAAUGCAAAAGUGGAGCAACGAGGUGUUUGGGUCAAUAAAAAAACAAAUUGGGCACUUGAAGUGGCAGCUACGUGACGCGAAGGAACGGGCCCUGAGGACGGGGUAUAGGCAGGAGAUAAAGGAUAUUGAGGACCAGUUGCAUGAGCUAUACGAGCGGGAGGAGAUAUACUAUAAGCAAAGAUAG
RNAcentral lists this ribosomal RNA (588 nucleotides) under Triticum aestivum (bread wheat). Its description in RNAcentral is "partial small subunit ribosomal RNA". The record is from RNAcentral. Lineage: Eukaryota; Viridiplantae; Streptophyta; Magnoliopsida; Poales; Poaceae.